RNAcentral lists this ribosomal RNA (246 nucleotides) under uncultured bacterium. RNAcentral describes it as "partial 16S ribosomal RNA". It matches the Rfam family "Bacterial small subunit ribosomal RNA", at positions 527 to 772 of the family's 1533-position model. The record is from RNAcentral.
GUAGGGGGCAAGCGUUAUCCGGAUUUACUGGGUGUAAAGGGAGCGUAGACGGUGCGUUAAGUCAGAAGUGAAAGCCCAUUGCUCAACGAUGGAGCUGCUUUUGAAACUAACGAACUAGAGUACAGGAGAGGUAAGUGGAAUUCCUAGUGUAGCGGUGAAAUGCGUAGAGAUUAGGAGGAACACCAGUGGCGAAGGCGGCUUACUGGACUGAAACUGACGUUGAGGCUCGAAAGCGUGGGGAGCAAA